Non-coding RNA from Macaca mulatta (Rhesus monkey), 3991 nucleotides. NCBI's taxonomy places the organism in Eukaryota, Metazoa, Chordata, Mammalia, Primates, Cercopithecidae. The record is from RefSeq and is a predicted model, not a curated record.
ACAUAUUUUUAUUGAUUCCAUUUAUAAAAGUUCACAAAGCCUGUGUGUGUGUGUGUGUAUAAUGUAAUACAAGGCAAUAAAUGUUACAUCAUGUUGGCCCUUAACCCAGCAUGUUUUUCUUUGAAAAUCCAUAGAAAUUGAUAUUCUACUUCUGAUUUAUUACUGAGCAUAUUUAUGGCGUGGAGAAUAUUUUUAUUUGCCAGAUUACAAAUCAUUUUAGGAAAAUCUUUGAAGGGAUACCUAAAACCAUUUUGCGCCAAUAUUAAUCAUUUUAACCUGUCUUUUAUUUUUACAAUUAUAUAAAAAAUAGGAAGCAUGUUAAAGCUGCUUCAAGACACGUAUUCUGUUAUGAGUUUAGUAAUUAAGAAGCUUAUGUGUAGAACUUAGAGAAUCUCAAGGAGUUGUCUGUGAUAUCAUUAGCUGUCGUCCAGCCAAAUAAUACAAUGUUUCCCCUUGCCAACUAUAAUAUAUAAUCUACUAUUUAAAAAUCUAUAAAGUGAAAUAUAAUUAGUUAACAUUUCAAUAUUUAAAUUCAAGAUGACUAGUAAAGGAUUUCUCAUAUACUGCACAGUCCUAGACAUGCAGCUAAAUGUAUCUAUUAAUAUUCAAUGAAUACCAGGCUCAUUUCAUGCUCAUUUCUAUUUCAGGAAAGACUCAAAAAAGGACUGUGUUCCAUUGAUUAUGAGACUAAUACUAACGUGACAAAAGUUAUUUCACCAUUCUCUUUUUGCAAAAACAACAAGAAAACUAUAAUAACACAAACAAAACUCUAAGACCACUAUUUGGCUCUCUCUGACUCCCUUCCCUGAAGAGCAUUUACAACUGACUUUUGAGGAAAAACAAACACAUUCAUAAAAAAAAAAAUUGGCUUCUUGCAAGUCCUUUUCUCCUUUGUCUUCCAACUCUUUGACUCAAGCUAUAAAAAUAAAGUAAACAAAUAUUUUCAAUUUACCUAUUUUAAAACUUCUGUUCUUGUUUUGCCAUUUCAGUUUUUCACUCUGCUCUUAUUCAUUCCUAUAGUUUGGGACAUACUAUGCUCAUACCUUAUCAUUAAUUCUAAUAGCAUACGAAAUUAAGUCUUAUGAUCAGUGCUUAUUACUGGCAUGGAGCAUCUGGUGCUAAUCUCAAAUUGAUUCCAGAUUACAUUGCAUCCCUGUUGUCUUCCCGACAGGGCAAUACCCUCUGCUGUCUCAGGGUCAAACAUGCUACUCCUGCCUGCUUGUAUGGCCAGCUGGGCUCAAGAAGGAAGGAACCUCAUUGUUGACAGUUACCAGAUGAAUGUGCCCCUUCUGUGCAACUAAGAAAUGGAAUAGACGUUGGUAAUUUUGAGUCCAAGUGUAAUUCCCCUGGAAAACCAUUUUACCUUCAUUGCAAUAACUGGAGGUCUCAUUUCCAUUUUAAUCAUCAUAUGGAUUCCCAGAAUUAUAUAACCAGAAACUGAAAAACAGAAAAAUUUUAGAAAGGUAUUUCUGAUUUGGGACGUGAGAAACGGGAUGCUUUAAAUGAAAGGUGUUGGCUGUGAUUCUGCUGCUUCAUUAUGACACAGGCGAGUCAGCUGUGCAUAUAAAGCCUGUCAGUUCAGUCUUAAACCCAAAAACCUAGGCAACAAAGAAUCUUCACAAAGAUCCUGCUAUUAUAAUGUCAAUGGCAGAGGAAACAAUAAGAGAUUGGGGCCUGUCACUGAGGUUAUAAAAUUUUUUCACCUAUAUGGAUAAUACAUUCUGAUACUUGUCCACUGAAUUUACAAGGUGAUGUGAUGUUUCAGCGAUUAAAUUGGAGGUGGUGGGAAAGAAAAAAAAAGGAAUAAGGAUUGAGUAAUAUAGCUAAAGAGAAAAAAAAAUCAUAUAAAAACAAAUAAUAGGUCAUAUGUGACCAUGGUUAAAGAGCAUCUGAAGACCAAACAUGUUUUUAUGAGAGAUUUUAAAGAUUAGUAGUGAGGUAGGAGGUAGGGCUUGACUCAUGAGGUGAGACUUGACUCUGGAGGUGGAGUUCAGACACCAGACCAAACUGAGGACUAAUUAAAACAGGCAUGGGGUGGAAGCACCUUUCUAAAAGACAUACCCACCAAUGUGCCAUGUCAGUUUGCCAUUGCCAUGGCAACACCCAGAAAUUACCACCCCUUUUCAUAGCAACAACUCAACGACCUAGAAGUUACCACCCUUUUCCUAGAAAUUUCUGCAUAAUGUGCUGCUUAAUUUGCAUCUAAUUAAAGUUCAGGGGUUGAGUUCAGGGGUUCAAGACCAGCCUGACCAACACAGUGAAACCCCGGGUUUACUAAAAUACAAAAAAUUAGGCAGGCAUGGCAGCAUGUGCCUGUAAUCCCAGCUUCUCAGGAGGCUGAGACAGGAGAAUCACUUGAACUCAGGAGGCGGAGGUUGCAGUGAGUCGAGAUCGCGCCACUGCACUCCAGCCUGAACGACAGAGUGAGACUCCAUCUCAAAAAAAAAAAAAAAAAAAGGAGAAUACAUUCAUUUACAUUAAGGAAUAUCUCUCUGAAAACAAGGCUUGUUAUUUAUUACAAUAGUCUACCUUUCUUGGAGGUUUUAAAUAUAGUAGAAUAUUUUUGUGUGGCUCUGGAAUAUUUUAAAUUAAAAGAAUAUUAACUUUGAGUAAAAUUGAUUUUUGCCUUUAUAGUGGGGAGCAAAAUAUACCAACGGUUUUCAUUGGUAGCAAUUGAUCCUCCCCAGAAUCUGAACAAGCAACCCAUUUAGGUAGGGAAUGGCUAGGCCCCAAGAAGGAUAAAAAGAGAGACAAGAGAGACCAUUGAGUUUACACCAAGAUUUCUCAUCCUUGGUCCUCUUAGCAAAUAAUAAUGUGUCUUGGGGAGCAAAGUUGUCCACAGUUGAGAACCACAUUCUCUAAUGCCAUUAUUAUCUCAGCUCUGUACUUUGUUAAUUUUUUUCUCAGACCUAUGUCAAGAGACUAGUGCACUAACAGGUGUAGGGAAAGAGUAGAAAGAUCCCACUCCCCAGUGCUUAACCAGGAUGACUGUCUUCAGGUCAGCUGGUCUUCAUGAGGUUAAAGUAGGGAGAGGACAUGAAAUAAAUACUCAAAGCCAGUUGGCAUCCACAAUUUUGAGCUAAUAAAUCCAUCUAUAUGGAUUUGAUGAAUUGUACUGGGAAUCUUAGCUAAAUAUCUUGUUUUAAAUCUGAAUUAAUAUUUAAUAUAAUAAAUCCUUUCCAUAGAACUCAAUGAUACAGCAGUGGAGUAGUUAUUUUUUAAGGCAUAAACUAAAGGACAGCAGAGGAAACACAACAGACUCACUGCCAUUUUGGCUUAGAUUUUUAAAAACUGAUCUUAUUGUAAUUUAAAUAUAGUACUCACAAUAAACAUAAUAUGUAUUUAUAAUAUUGGUAUUAGAGGGCAUGAUUCAUAACACUUUAUAAGUUAACACAUAAGACAUUUCCUUUAUGUAAUGCCUGGUAGACUUUUAUUAUACUUAAUUUUGAGAAAGUAUGUAAGGCAACCUAGAGUAUACACAAAUAGUACAAUAAUACAAUGAUUCCCACAUUUGUUUCUUCCGUGGAGUGUCCCUAAACAUUUUAUUUCUUUCUAUUUUAAAGGGUUCCUUUUCUGUUUCUCUGGUGGAAUGAAUGCUAGCUUAUCUUUAUACCAGGAAGGUAGAUCUCCACCUCACUUCCUCCAGCAACGUGCUCUUCUCUCUCCUUCCUAUCCCAAGAUCUUACACUAACGUGACUAAUAAGAAUCUUUUUCAUAAAAUUAACCAAAGAACAAAAUUUCUUUUAUUCUUGGUGUGUUGCCUUAAAAACCAUCUAUAGGAAAUUCUCUUUAGUUAAUUAGAGGAAGUUACAAAUGAAUGAAAAAUGUGUUUGUUGACUCUGCUUCCACCACCACAUACACAAAACUACCUUUUUACAUCAAGUGCAGGUGUACACACGUCUUCCUGAGCUGUUUCAGUUUUCCUUAUCUGAGAUGGUUACACACUGUAUGUCCAAAAAGUCAAUAAAUAAAAUCUGGCAAUCACUGGAAA